RNAcentral lists this ribosomal RNA (1133 nucleotides) under Klebsiella pneumoniae. Its description in RNAcentral is "bacterial SSU rRNA". It matches the Rfam family "Bacterial small subunit ribosomal RNA", at positions 1 to 1125 of the family's 1533-position model. Lineage: Bacteria; Pseudomonadati; Pseudomonadota; Gammaproteobacteria; Enterobacterales; Enterobacteriaceae. The record is from RNAcentral.
AAAUUGAAGAGUUUGAUCAUGGCUCAGAUUGAACGCUGGCGGCAGGCCUAACACAUGCAAGUCGAGCGGUAGCACAGAGAGCUUGCUCUCGGGUGACGAGCGGCGGACGGGUGAGUAAUGUCUGGGAAACUGCCUGAUGGAGGGGGAUAACUACUGGAAACGGUAGCUAAUACCGCAUAAUGUCGCAAGACCAAAGUGGGGGACCUUCGGGCCUCAUGCCAUCAGAUGUGCCCAGAUGGGAUUAGCUAGUAGGUGGGGUAACGGCUCACCUAGGCGACGAUCCCUAGCUGGUCUGAGAGGAUGACCAGCCACACUGGAACUGAGACACGGUCCAGACUCCUACGGGAGGCAGCAGUGGGGAAUAUUGCACAAUGGGCGCAAGCCUGAUGCAGCCAUGCCGCGUGUGUGAAGAAGGCCUUCGGGUUGUAAAGCACUUUCAGCGGGGAGGAAGGCGCUAAGGUUAAUAACCUUGGCGAUUGACGUUACCCGCAGAAGAAGCACCGGCUAACUCCGUGCCAGCAGCCGCGGUAAUACGGAGGGUGCAAGCGUUAAUCGGAAUUACUGGGCGUAAAGCGCACGCAGGCGGUCUGUCAAGUCGGAUGUGAAAUCCCCGGGCUCAACCUGGGAACUGCAUUCGAAACUGGCAGGCUAGAGUCUUGUAGAGGGGGGUAGAAUUCCAGGUGUAGCGGUGAAAUGCGUAGAGAUCUGGAGGAAUACCGGUGGCGAAGGCGGCCCCCUGGACAAAGACUGACGCUCAGGUGCGAAAGCGUGGGGAGCAAACAGGAUUAGAUACCCUGGUAGUCCACGCCGUAAACGAUGUCGAUUUGGAGGUUGUGCCCUUGAGGCGUGGCUUCCGGAGCUAACGCGUUAAAUCGACCGCCUGGGGAGUACGGCCGCAAGGUUAAAACUCAAAUGAAUUGACGGGGGCCCGCACAAGCGGUGGAGCAUGUGGUUUAAUUCGAUGCAACGCGAAGAACCUUACCUGGUCUUGACAUCCACAGAACUUUCCAGAGAUGGAUUGGUGCCUUCGGGAACUGUGAGACAGGUGCUGCAUGGCUGUCGUCAGCUCGUGUUGUGAAAUGUUGGGUUAAGUCCCGCAACGAGCGCAACCCUUAUCCUUUGUUGCCAGCGGU